Molecule: ribosomal RNA, 114 nt
Filed under: Escherichia coli
Lineage: Bacteria; Pseudomonadati; Pseudomonadota; Gammaproteobacteria; Enterobacterales; Enterobacteriaceae
Also listed under: 3 other names
Description: partial 23S ribosomal RNA
Rfam family: Bacterial large subunit ribosomal RNA (bases 1-97)
Source: RNAcentral
GAAGGAACGUUGAAGACGACGACGUUGAUAGGCCGGGUGUGUAAGCGCAGCGAUGCGUUGAGCUAACCGGUACUAAUGAACCGUGAGGCUUAACCUUACAACGCCGAAGCUGUU